Long non-coding RNA from Panicum hallii, 2416 nucleotides. RefSeq lists it as uncharacterized. The transcript has 2 exons. Lineage: Eukaryota; Viridiplantae; Streptophyta; Magnoliopsida; Poales; Poaceae. The record is from RefSeq and is a predicted model, not a curated record.
UUGUCACGGCAACCGCAACAGAUCGAGUCCCCCCGACGCAUGCGCUGGGACUCAUGCGAGCGAGCCCGCCCACCGCCCCUGAUCCCCUCCGUCUCAAUCCCCGGCGAGCUGAGCAGGCCCGUCUCUCCCCGCACCCCUGAUCAAUGGAAGCUCCAAGGCGGCGGCGAGAUUACAAGACGGAGCGAGUAGUCGUCAGCCAGGCCCCGCGCUGCCGCCUUCUCAAUUUCGAACCCAAAUCGCCAAUUGCUCGCCGCGCCACUAGCGCUAGCUUUUGCCGCACCGCUGCUUCCUCCACGCCCUCCCAUCAGCGGCCUCCUCCUCCACGCCCCUCCCAGCAGCGGCCUCCUCCUCAUAGUGGAGAGGCUACUCGCGCUAUUCCACGCAGCCGCUUGUGCCGACCAGAUCCGGGUGGGGCUGCGCGGGGGCAGAUGUGGACGACGGCGAAAGCGGUGGCCGGACUCGUCGACAGCUGGGGCCGGUCUUCCCCUCGGCGCGAUUACCCUCGUUCAAUCCAAACCUCAAGAGUUGAAAAGAUAUCAAUUUGUAGUUGAAUUAUCAUGGAUGAAGCACAUUGCUUGAUAGAUCCUAAUUCCUGGUAAGUUUUGCACUCAGAACAUGUCCUUUGUAUCUGGCUUAGGGUUUAGUGCUUUAUCUCAGCCUAGUACAUAUUCUUUUAUGGUACCAAGUUUAAAUUACAAUGCAUCCAUGCAUUACAUGGUACCAAAUUUCAUGUCACAUCCAUAAGGUGCUGCACACUGUAAUAUUUUACGCUUGUUACUCGCCUUUAUUGACCUUAUGUGCAAAUGCCAUUGUUAGUGUCGGAACAGCUUAUGUUUCCUUUUUAAACUUAUUUUGUUAACGCCACACCCUUGCUAUGUCGAAUAUGUUUUGUUAAAUUAUAAGUGCUGCUGUUUAGGUGCUUACAAUUGUUAGGGUCACUGUUCAUGUGAUUUGCAAUUAAGUGGGAUCUAAAUCUGGUCAUUGUUUACUCCAUGUUUAGAAGUUUAGGUAAUUUAUGAGACUGUUCAGGUGCCAGGUCAUCUAAAUGUGGUGUGUGACAAGAUUUAAUUCUUUUAACUUGAUGUUUCUGAACUGGAGGUAAGUUAUAAAAUUGUUUUAUAUGGUGAGUUAUCUAAAUGCAUGCAUUUUGCAAUGCAAUGUAAACAAUUGUUUUGUAUAGUAAUGGAAGGAUGAAAUGAUAAAUAAGGAUUCAGGAUUGUAAUAAACUUGCUACUGUCAGUUCAGUGCUGUAUUUGAACAUGCAACCAACUAUUCUAGCUUUGAUGAACAAGAAAUGAUGAAUUUGUAGGUUUGCCAUAUGGAAAUGAUGAGAGUGCUUUUCAUAGGACUGUAAAUAUAAUUCAAAUUUAAUUGGUGGACAUAACUAUUAAUUGGAAACCUUGUAGGUGUCUUACUUACACUCAAUUAUUUUUGUGGAGUAUCAUAUAAUGGUGAAGCUUGUAUCUAGGCACUGUAAUUAUCAUUUAUCACUUCAAACCAUAUACUUCAUUUAUUUAUGUCUUGUAAACAACAUAGGAUGGCUGAUGAAAGGAAUGUCAGACCCCAUGGUAUACAUAGUAAUACACUGUCCAUUGAGGAUUUAGUACACUUUCAGCCCCCAUGUCAAACCAACAAAUAUCGAUGUUAAUGGAUUUCACCUUCAAAAGUACAUACAUGUCAUUAUAAUUAUGCAAUAUAUAUGGAAACUAAAUAAGGAGAGGGGGAGUGACAUUGCAUUAUGCAGUAAUUUACUACGCUUUUAUGGUCCACAUUGUGAUAUUUGAUUAGUUAGCAGCAACUGAGUUAUGUAUUUAUGAUGCAUUUAACAGUGACAAGAAUAUGUCAGUAGUCUGUUAAACUAUUACUCUGUUGUGGUGGUAUAUCACAAUGAUUGAUUUCAUAUUCAUGAAUAUAACAUUAUUUUUUUAAUAUAACAUUUUAGCUUUACCCAACCUUCUGCUCUUCUCAACUGAUUUAACAAAUGUUUCAGUACUAACUUGGCAUAUUAUUUUGUGAUUAGCUUUACCUAAAACUUCUUCCCCACUAAUUACCAAAUGGUUCUUCGGAAAUUAAAGUGACAUUUAUGUUGUUUCUUUUCAUCUUGUCCUCAUCCAUUAUUUUUACACCACCACUAAAAUUUCUUAGUCCAAAACAAAUGUCCAUCAUAGAAUGCCCUUCCAUAUAUUUAUUUUCCUUGCGCCAUAAAGUAUCUGUUCCUCAGCAGUCACUUGGUUUACAUUAUUCAUAUAGUUCUCUUAGGUAAUAUGACUACUCUUCAUUGUUGUACCUCUUUGCUAUGUUGUUAUGCGGCAAACGUUUGAUCUGAUAGUUUGGAAGUGUUCGGACCUAUUUGGUAUGAAUGCGAACUAAAUUCUAAAAUUCCUAGCUGAAUAAGUCACAGAAUAUUUGUUGUCAA